UACGGAGGGUGCGAGCGUUAUCCGGAUUUACUGGGUUUAAAGGGUGUGUAGGCGGGCUAUUAAGUCAGCGGUGAAAUCUUCGGGCUCAACCCGGAAACUGCCAUUGAUACUAUUAGUCUUGAAUACUGUGGAGGUAUGCGGAAUGUGUCAUGUAGCGGUGAAAUGCUUAGAGAUGACACAGAACACCGAUUGCGAAGGCAGCGUACUACACAGUGAUUGACGCUGAGGCACGAAAGCGUGGGGAUCAAACAGG
Molecule: ribosomal RNA, 253 nt
Filed under: uncultured bacterium
Lineage: Bacteria
Also listed under: 1 other name
Description: partial 16S ribosomal RNA
Rfam family: Bacterial small subunit ribosomal RNA
Source: RNAcentral